CCCAGACUCCUACGGGAGGCAGCAGUGGGGGAUAUUGCACAAUGGGGGGAACCCUGAUGCAGCGACGCCGCGUGGGUGAAGAAGUAUUUCGGUAUGUAAAGCCCUAUCGGCAGGGAAGAAAUUGGACGGUACCUGACUAAGAAGCCCCGGCUAACUACGUGCCAGCAGCCGCGGUAAUACGUAGGGGGCAAGCGUUAUCCGGAUUCACUGGGUGUAAAGGGAGCGUAGACGGCCAUGCAAGCCUGGAGUGAAAGCCCGGGGCCCAACCCCGGGACUGCUCUGGGAACUGUGCGGCUGGAGUGCGGGAGGGGCAGGCGGAAUUCCUGGUGUAGCGGUGAAAUGCGUAGAUAUCAGGAGGAACACCGGCGGCGAAGGCGGCCUGCUGGACAGCAACUGACGGUGAGGCGCGAAAGCGUGGGGAGCAAACAGGAUUAGAUACCCCAGUAA
This 447-nucleotide ribosomal RNA is filed under the name uncultured bacterium. RNAcentral describes it as "bacterial SSU rRNA". It matches the Rfam family "Bacterial small subunit ribosomal RNA", at positions 330 to 793 of the family's 1533-position model. The record is from RNAcentral.